This 429-nucleotide ribosomal RNA is filed under the name Actinomycetes bacterium. RNAcentral describes it as "Actinobacteria bacterium partial 16S ribosomal RNA". It matches the Rfam family "Bacterial small subunit ribosomal RNA", at positions 355 to 776 of the family's 1533-position model. The record is from RNAcentral. Lineage: Bacteria; Bacillati; Actinomycetota; Actinomycetes.
UAGGGAAUCUUCCGCAAUGGGCGAAAGCCUGACGGAGCAACGCCGCGUGAGUGAUGAAGGUCUUCGGAUCGUAAAACUCUGUUAUUAGGGAAGUACAAAUGUGUAAGUAACUAUUCACGUCUUGACGGUACCUAAUCAGAAAGCCACGGCUAACUACGUGCCAGCAGCCGCGGUAAUACGUAGGUGGCAAGCGUUAUCCGGAAUUAUUGGGCGUAAAGCGCGCGUAGGCGGUUUUUUAAGUCUGAUGUGAAAGCCCACGGCUCAACCGUGGAGGGUCAUUGGAAACUGGAAAACUUGAGUGCAGAAGAAGAAAGUGGAAUUCCAGGUGUAGCGGUAAAAUUCGAAGAGAUAUGGAGGAACGCCAGUGGCGAAGGCGACUUUCUGGUCUGUAACUGACGCUGAUGUGCGAAAGCGUGAGGAUCAAACAGG